Non-coding RNA from Danio rerio (zebrafish), 71 nucleotides. The record is from Rfam. Lineage: Eukaryota; Metazoa; Chordata; Actinopteri; Cypriniformes; Danionidae.
GCAUUGGUGGUUCAGUGGUAGAAUUCUCGCCUGCCACGCGGGAGACCAGGGUCCGAUUCCCGGCCAAUGCA